RNAcentral lists this ribosomal RNA (253 nucleotides) under uncultured bacterium. RNAcentral describes it as "partial 16S ribosomal RNA". It matches the Rfam family "Bacterial small subunit ribosomal RNA", at positions 524 to 776 of the family's 1533-position model. The record is from RNAcentral.
UACGUAGGGUGCUAGCGUUGUCCGGAUUUAUUGGGCGUAAAGAGCUCGUAGGCGGUCUGUCGCGUCGGCUGUGAAAACCCGGAGCUCAACUCCGGGCCUGCAGUCGAUACGGGCAGACUGGAGUUCGGCAGGGGAGACUGGAAUUCCUGGUGUAGCGGUGAAAUGCGCAGAUAUCAGGAGGAACACCGGUGGCGAAGGCGGGUCUCUGGGCCGAUACUGACGCUGAGGAGCGAAAGCGUGGGGAGCAAACAGG